This 414-nucleotide ribosomal RNA is filed under the name soil bacterium 7V-07. RNAcentral's name for it is "bacterial SSU rRNA". It matches the Rfam family "Bacterial small subunit ribosomal RNA", at positions 24 to 487 of the family's 1533-position model. The record is from RNAcentral.
UCAGAACGAACGCUGGCGGCAGGCUUAACACAUGCAAGUCGAACGCCCCGCAAGGGGAGUGGCAGACGGGUGAGUAACGCGUGGGAAUCUACCCAGUUNUACGGAACAACACAGGGAAACUUGUGCUAAUACCGUAUACGCCCUACGGGGGAAAGAUUUAUCGGAAUUGGAUGAGCCCGCGUAAGAUUAGCUAGUUGGUGGGGUAAUGGCCUACCAAGGCGACGAUCUUUAGCUGGUCUGAGAGGAUGAUCAGCCACACUGGGACUGAGACACGGCCCAGACUCCUACGGGAGGCAGCAGUGGGGAAUAUUGGACAAUGGGCGCAAGCCUGAUCCAGCCAUGCCGCGUGAGUGAUGAAGGCCUUAGGGUUGUAAAGCUCUUUCAGUGGGGACGAUAAUGACGUACCCACAGAGA